Molecule: microRNA precursor, 96 nt
Filed under: Cicer arietinum (chickpea)
Lineage: Eukaryota; Viridiplantae; Streptophyta; Magnoliopsida; Fabales; Fabaceae
Source: RNAcentral
AGAGUAUAGUGCAGCCAAGGAUGACUUGCCGGCGACCAGAUAAGUUUAUGGCUAUCCCUCUACCGGCAAGUUGUCAUUGGCUAUAUUAGACUUUCU